This 1507-nucleotide ribosomal RNA is filed under the name metagenome. RNAcentral's name for it is "bacterial SSU rRNA". It matches the Rfam family "Bacterial small subunit ribosomal RNA". The record is from RNAcentral.
AGAGUUUGAUCCUGGCUCAGAAUGAACGCUGGCGGCGUGCUUAACACAUGCAAGUCGAACGAGAAAGCGAACUUUGGUUCGUGAGUAGAGUGGCGCACGGGUGAGUAAUACGUAGAUAAUCUACCCUUGAAUUUGGGAUAACAUCGCGAAAGUGGUGCUAAUACCGGAUAAUAUUUAUACGACUUCGGUUUUGUAAAUCAAAGAUGGCCUCUUCUUGAAAGCUAUUGUUUGAAGAUGAGUCUACGCACCAUUAGCUUGUUGGUGGGGUAAAGGCCUACCAAGGCGACGAUGGUUAGCUGGUCUGAGAGGAUGAUCAGCCACACUGGAACUGACACACGGUCCAGACUCCUACGGGAGGCAGCAGUGAGGAAUUUUGCGCAAUGGGGGAAACCCUGACGCAGCAACGCCGCGCGAGUGAUGAAGGCUCUUGGGUCGUAAAACUCUGUCAGUAGGGAAGAAGUUAUGUAUAAUUAAUACUUAUAUGUAUUGACGGUACCUACAAAGGAAGCACCGGCUAACUCCGUGCCAGCAGCCGCGGUAAUACGGGGGGUGCAAGCGUUAUUCGGAAUUAUUGGGCGUAAAGCGAGUGUAGGCGGUUUGUUAAGUCAGAUGUGAAAGCCCGGGGCUCAACCCCGGAAGUGCAUUUGAAACUGGCAGACUCGAGUAUGGGAGAGGAAAGUGGAAUUCCUGGUGUAGAGGUGAAAUUCGUAGAUAUCAGGAGGAACACCGGUGGCGAAGGCGACUUUCUGGACCAAUACUGACGCUCAGACUCGAAGGCGUGGGGAGCAAACAGGAUUAGAUACCCUGGUAGUCCACGCAGUAAACGUUGACAACUGGGUGUCGCGGGUAUUGGCCCCUGCGGUGCCGGAGCUAACGCAUUAAGUUGUCCGCCUGGGGAGUACGAUCGCAAGAUUAAAACUCAAAGGAAUUGACGGGGGCCCGCACAAGCUGAGGAACAUGUGGUUUAAUUCGAUGAUACGCGAGGAACCUUACCUGGGCUUAAAUGCAGAACGACGUACCGGGAAACUGGUAUUCCCUUCGGGGCGGACUGCAAGGUGCUGCAUGGCUGUCGUCAGCUCGUGCCGUGAGGUGUCGGGUUAAGUCCCACAACGAGCGCAACCCCUAUCGUUAGUUGCCAGCGGAUAAUGCCGGGGACUCUAACGAAACUGCCAGUGUAAACUGUGAGGAAGGUGGGGAUGACGUCAAGUCAGCACGGCCCUUAUGUCCAGGGCUACACACGUGUUACAAUGGCCGGAACAGAGGGCAGCUACCUGGUGACAGGAUGCAAAUCUCAAAAUCCGGUCUCAGUUCGGAUCGAAGUCUGCAACUCGACUUCGUGAAGGUGGAUUCGCUAGUAAUCGCGCAUCAGCAACGGCGCGGUGAAUACGUUCCCGGGCCUUGUACACACCGCCCGUCAAGCCAUGGAAGCUGGGGGUACCUGAAGUCUGCAACCGCAAGGAGCGGCCUAGGGUAAAACUAGUGACUGGGGCUAAGUCGUAACAAGGUA